RNAcentral lists this ribosomal RNA (384 nucleotides) under uncultured bacterium. RNAcentral describes it as "bacterial SSU rRNA". It matches the Rfam family "Bacterial small subunit ribosomal RNA", at positions 335 to 713 of the family's 1533-position model. The record is from RNAcentral.
ACUCCUACGGGAGGCAGCAGUGGGGAAUAUUGCACAAUGGGGAAACCCUGAUGCAGCCAUGCCGCGUGUGUGAAGAAGGCCUUCGGUUGUAAAGCACUUUCAGUAGGGAGGAAGGUAGUGUAGUUAACACCUGCAUUAUUUGACGUUACCUACAGAAGAAGCACCGGCUAACUCCGUGCCAGCAGCCGCGGUAAUACGGAGGGUGCGAGCGUUAAUCGGAAUUACUGGGCGUAAAGCGCAUGCAGGCGGCCUGUUAAGUCAGAUGUGAAAGCCCGGGGCUUAACCUCGGAAUUGCAUUUGAAACUGGCAGGCUAGAGUCUUGUAGAGGGGGUAGGAAUUUCAGGUGUAGCGGUGAAAUGCGUAGAGAUCUGAAGGAAUACCAGU